GACGAACGCUGGCGGCGUGCUUAACACAUGCAAGUCGAACGGAAAGGCCUCUUUCGGGGGGUACUCGAGUGGCGAACGGGUGAGUAACACGUGAGUAACCUGCCCUUGACUUUGGGAUAACUUCAGGAAACUGGGGCUAAUACCGGAUAGGAGCUCCUGCUGCAUGGUGGGGGUUGGAAAGUUUCGGCGGUUGGGGAUGGACUCGCGGCUUAUCAGCUUGUUGGUGGGGUAGUGGCUUACCAAGGCUUUGACGGGUAGCCGGCCUGAGAGGGUGACCGGCCACAGUGGGACUGAGAGACGGCCCAGACUCCUACGGGAGGCAGCAGUGGGGAAGAUUGCACAAUGGGUGGAAGCCUGAUGCAGCAACGCCGUGUGCGGGAUGACGGCCUUCGGGUUGGAAACCGCUUUCGCUCAUGACGAAGCUUUGUGUGACGGUAGUGGGUAAAGAAGCACCGGCUAACUACGUG
Molecule: ribosomal RNA, 467 nt
Filed under: uncultured bacterium
Lineage: Bacteria
Description: partial 16S ribosomal RNA
Rfam family: Bacterial small subunit ribosomal RNA
Source: RNAcentral